CGGAGAGCGGAGCGGGCGAUCACAUGGCAGUUAUUUUAUUCAGGUGCAGUUUUAUAUGUAGCUGAUUAGAGAGCAAGGUAUGUGAUUUUUGAUUGAUGGAACCAGGUUAUCGAGGUCUUUGAUACCGGUAGAUAAAUUGGCUACUUAAAUUCCAAGAUUAUUAGAUACUGUUGUUGCUAACUAUCUACUAGUUGAUUGGCAAGCAAAAAUGGCUGGAAAUGGCACUCAGCGAAUCCGUGGAGUGUCUGCAGUUUGUAUUUGUUGAUGUGAUGCUUUUGGCUGUUGAUGAAGUGGAUGUAGACAAUAGGCCAAUACUACGCGCAUGGCUACACGGCAAAAGCCGGAUAGCGGCAGGCUGUCUGGAUGUAGCGGUUUGAAGGGCUGAAAGGAGGAGGACCCGAGAGAAACGACGUCUCCGGGGCCCUGCGUCAGCUGGGAGGCAUGAGGAUGACCUCUGCAAGGGAAAGCAGAACCAAACCAGAGCUACACCCCCUGCAUGCCUUUUUAGCAUCUGC
Molecule: long non-coding RNA, 515 nt
Organism: Megalops cyprinoides (Indo-Pacific tarpon)
Lineage: Eukaryota; Metazoa; Chordata; Actinopteri; Elopiformes; Megalopidae
Exons: 3
Source: RefSeq, a predicted model, not a curated record